CCUACGGGCGGCUGCAGUGAGGAAUAUUGGUCAAUGGACGCGAGUCUGAACCAGCCAAGUAGCGUGAAGGAUGACUGCCCUACGGGUUGUAAACUUCUUUUAUAUAGGAAUAAAAUGAGCCACGUGUGCCUUUUUGUAUGUACUAUAUGAAUAAGGAUCGGCUAACUCCGUGCCAGCAGCCGCGGUAAUACGGAGGAUCCGAGCGUUAUCCGGAUUUAUUGGGUUUAAAGGGAGCGUAGAUGGAUUGUUAAGUCAGUUGUGAAAGUUUGCGGCUCAACCGUAAAAUUGCAGUUGAUACUGGCAGUCUUGAGUACAGUAGAGGUAGGCGGAAUUCGUGGUGUAGCGGUGAAAUGCUUAGAUAUCACGAAGAACUCCGAUUGCGAAGGCAGCUUACUGGACUGCCACUGACACUGAGGCUCGAAAGUGUGGGUAUCAAACAGGAUUAGAUACCCCUGUAGUC
This 460-nucleotide ribosomal RNA is filed under the name uncultured bacterium. RNAcentral describes it as "partial 16S ribosomal RNA". It matches the Rfam family "Bacterial small subunit ribosomal RNA", at positions 338 to 795 of the family's 1533-position model. The record is from RNAcentral.